CAGCAGCCGCGGGAAUACGAAGGGGGCUAGCGUUGUUCGGAUUUACUGGGCGUAAAGCGCACGUAGGCGGAUCGAUCAGUCAGGGGUGAAAUCCCAGAGCUCAACUCUGGAACUGCCUUUGAUACUGUCGAUCUGGAGUAUGAAAGAGGUGAGUGGAAUUCCGAGUGUAGAGGUGAAAUUCGUAGAUAUUCGGAGGAACACCAGUGGCGAAGGCGGCUCACUGGUCCAUUACUGACGCUGAGGUGCGAAAGCGUGGGGAGCAAACAGGAUUAGAUACCCCAGUAGUCCCUGUCUCUUAUAC
Molecule: ribosomal RNA, 301 nt
Filed under: uncultured bacterium
Lineage: Bacteria
Description: partial 16S ribosomal RNA
Rfam family: Bacterial small subunit ribosomal RNA
Source: RNAcentral